This 468-nucleotide ribosomal RNA is filed under the name uncultured bacterium. RNAcentral describes it as "partial 16S ribosomal RNA". It matches the Rfam family "Bacterial small subunit ribosomal RNA", at positions 28 to 507 of the family's 1533-position model. The record is from RNAcentral.
GACGAACGCUGGCGGCGUGCUUAACACAUGCAAGUCGAACGGAAAGGCCCUGCUUUUGUGGUGUGCUCGAGUGGCGAACAGGUGAGUAACACGUGAGUAACCUGCCCUUGACUUUGGGAUAACUUCAGGAAACUGGGGCUAAUACCGGAUAGGAGCUCCUGCUGCAUGGUGGGGGUUGGAAAGUUUCGGCGGUUGGGGAUGGACUCGCGGCUUAUCAGCUUGUUGGUGGGGUAGUGGCUUACCAAGGCUUUGACGGGUAGCCGGCCUGAGAGGGUGACCGGCCACAUUGGGACUGAGAUACGGCCCAGACUCCUACGGGAGGCAGCAGUGGGGAAUAUUGCACAAUGGGCGGAAGCCUGAUGCAGCAACGCCGCGUGCGGGAUGACGGCCUUCGGGUUGUAAACCGCUUUCGCCUGUGACGAAGCGUGAGUGACGGUAAUGGGUAAAGAAGCACCGGCUAACUACGUG